UCCUUACUCAUGGAAUAAGGACCCUUUCCCACAAGAGCUAGACUUGGAAUUUUCCAAACAAGCUGGAUAAAAGAUAAUUUGAGUUCAGGGCGUGAAGGACCACAGCUGAUUAAAGAGAAGACCUUGGGCACAUCAACUCUCAAACAUCUUGAUUACAGAAAUUGGGGGCUCUCAUUCCAUG
RNAcentral lists this long non-coding RNA (181 nucleotides) under Microcebus murinus (gray mouse lemur). RNAcentral describes it as "lncRNA (ENSMICG00000048577.1)". The record is from RNAcentral. Lineage: Eukaryota; Metazoa; Chordata; Mammalia; Primates; Cheirogaleidae.